CCUACGGGAGGCAGCAGUGAGGCAUAUUGGUCAAUGGCCGGAAGGCUGAACCAGCCAUGCCGCGUGAAGGUCAGUGCCCUAUGGGCGUUAAACUUCUUUUGUGCGGGAGCAAUAAUGGUCACGUGUGGCCAGACGAGAGUACCGUACGAAUAAGCAUCGGCUAACUCCGUGCCAGCAGCCGCGGUAAUACGGGGGAUGCAAGCGUUAUCCGGAUUUAUUGGGUUUAAAGGGUGCGUAGGCUGUGAGGUAAGUCAGUGUGGAAAUGCCCCCGCGCAAAGGGGUGAAGUGCCAUUGAUACUGCCUUGCUGGAAUGCGGAGGCCGUGGGAGGAAUGUGUGGUGGAGCGGUGAAAUGCAGAGAUAGCACACAGAACACCGAUUGCGAAGGCAUCUCACGAAUCCGCGAUUGACGCUGAUGCACGAAAGCGUGGGUAUCAAACAGGAUUAGAUACCCUUGUAGUC
Molecule: ribosomal RNA, 460 nt
Filed under: uncultured bacterium
Lineage: Bacteria
Description: partial 16S ribosomal RNA
Rfam family: Bacterial small subunit ribosomal RNA
Source: RNAcentral